GUUUGCACUUGUCGGGGAAGGGUGAGAACCUUCGAUUAAGGUUCGACUCGAGCGAAAGCGAGAGAACGUUGCCAACGGCAACGGCCCGUAGGGUGAGGAGCGAAGCGCUGAGUAAUCCUUCCCCCAUCACCA
Molecule: small RNA, 132 nt
Filed under: Salmonella enterica
Lineage: Bacteria; Pseudomonadati; Pseudomonadota; Gammaproteobacteria; Enterobacterales; Enterobacteriaceae
Also listed under: 1 other name
Description: RtT sRNA
Rfam family: RtT RNA
About the family: This family represents a bacterial cis-regulatory element known as RtT RNA. The exact function of RtT is unknown although it is thought that it may be involved in changing the cellular response in relation to amino acid starvation.
Source: RNAcentral